GAUGAACGCUGGCGGCGUGCCUAAUACAUGCAAGUCGAGCGAACGGACGAGAAGCUUGCUUCUCUGAUGUUAGCGGCGGACGGGUGAGCAACACGUGGAUAACCUACCUAUAAGACUGGGAUAACUUCGGGAAACCGGAGCUAAUACCGGAUAAUAUUUUGAACCGCAUGGUUCAAAAGUGAAAGACGGUCUUGCUGUCACUUAUAGAUGGAUCCGCGCUGCAUUAGCUAGUUGGUAAGGUAACGGCUUACCAAGGCAACGAUGCAUAGCCGACCUGAGAGGGUGAUCGGCCACACUGGAACUGAGACACGGUCCAGACUCCUACGGGAGGCAGCAGUAGGGAAUCUUCCGCAAUGGGCGAAAGCCUGACGGAGCAACGCCGCGUGAGUGAUGAAGGUCUUCGGAUCGUAAAACUCUGUUAUUAGGGAAGAACAUAUGUGUAAGUAACUGUGCACAUCUUGACGGUACCUAAUCAGAAAGCCACGGCUAACUACGUGCCAGCAGCCGCGGUAAUACGUAGGUGACAAGCGUUAUCCGGAAUUAUUGGGCGUAAAGCGCGCGUAGGCGGUUUUUUAAGUCUGAUGUGAAAGCCCACGGCUCAACCGUGGAGGGUCAUUGGAAACUGGAAAACUUGAGUGCAGAAGAGGAAAGUGGAAUUCCAUGUGUAGCGGUGAAAUGCGCAGAGAUAUGGAGGAACACCAGUGGCGAAGGCGACUUUCUGGUCUGUAACUGACGCUGAUGUGCGAAAGCGUGGGGAUCAAACAGGAUUAGAUACCCUGGUAGUCCACGCCGUAAACGAUGAGUGCUAAGUGUUAGGGGGUUUCCGCCCCUUAGUGCUGCAGCUAACGCAUUAAGCACUCCGCCUGGGGAGUACGACCGCAAGGUUGAAACUCAAAGGAAUUGACGGGGACCCGCACAAGCGGUGGAGCAUGUGGUUUAAUUCGAAGCAACGCGAAGAACCUUACCAAAUCUUGACAUCCUUUGACAACUCUAGAGAUAGAGCCUUCCCCUUCGGGGGACAAAGUGACAGGUGGUGCAUGGUUGUCGUCAGCUCGUGUCGUGAGAUGUUGGGUUAAGUCCCGCAACGAGCGCAACCCUUAAGCUUAGUUGCCAUCAUUAAGUUGGGCACUCUAAGUUGACUGCCGGUGACAAACCGGAGGAAGGUGGGGAUGACGUCAAAUCAUCAUGCCCCUUAUGAUUUGGGCUACACACGUGCUACAAUGGACAAUACAAAGGGCAGCGAAACCGCGAGGUCAAGCAAAUCCCAUAAAGUUGUUCUCAGUUCGGAUUGUAGCCUGCAACUCGACUACAUGAAGCUGGAAUCGCUAGUAAUCGUAGAUCAGCAUGCUACGGUGAAUACGUUCCCGGGUCU
Molecule: ribosomal RNA, 1372 nt
Filed under: uncultured bacterium
Lineage: Bacteria
Description: bacterial SSU rRNA
Rfam family: Bacterial small subunit ribosomal RNA
Source: RNAcentral